AUUGAACGCUGGCGGCAUGCCUUACACAUGCAAGUCGAACGGCAGCACGGGAGCAAUCCUGGUGGCGAGUGGCGAACGGGUGAGUAAUACAUCGGAACGUGCCCAAUCGUGGGGGAUAACGCAGCGAAAGCUGUGCUAAUACCGCAUACGAUCUACGGAUGAAAGCAGGGGAUCGCAAGACCUUGCGCGAAUGGAGCGGCCGAUGGCAGAUUAGGUAGUUGGUGAGGUAAAGGCUCACCAAGCCGUCGAUCUGUAGCUGGUCUGAGAGGACGACCAGCCACACUGGGACUGAGACAC
This 297-nucleotide ribosomal RNA is filed under the name uncultured Comamonadaceae bacterium. RNAcentral describes it as "partial 16S ribosomal RNA". It matches the Rfam family "Bacterial small subunit ribosomal RNA", at positions 30 to 327 of the family's 1533-position model. The record is from RNAcentral. Lineage: Bacteria; Pseudomonadati; Pseudomonadota; Betaproteobacteria; Burkholderiales; Comamonadaceae.